UACGAAGGGUGCAAGCGUUACUCGGAAUUACUGGGCGUAAAGCGUGCGUAGGUGGUUUGUUUAAGUCUGUUGUGAAAGCCCCGGGCUCAACCUGGGAAUGGCAAUGGAUACUGGCAGGCUAGAGUGCGGUAGAGGGUAGUGGAAUUCCCGGUGUAGCGGUGAAAUGCGUAGAGAUCGGGAGGAACACCAGUGGCGAAGGCGGCUACCUGGACCAGCACUGACACUGAGGCACGAAAGCGUGGGGAGCA
This 248-nucleotide ribosomal RNA is filed under the name uncultured bacterium. RNAcentral's name for it is "partial 16S ribosomal RNA". It matches the Rfam family "Bacterial small subunit ribosomal RNA", at positions 524 to 770 of the family's 1533-position model. The record is from RNAcentral.